UGGCUCAGUUGGUAGAGCAUGGCGUUUGCAACGCCAGAGUUGUGGGUUUGAUUCCCAU
Molecule: non-coding RNA, 58 nt
Organism: Salmo salar (Atlantic salmon)
Lineage: Eukaryota; Metazoa; Chordata; Actinopteri; Salmoniformes; Salmonidae
Source: Rfam